Molecule: long non-coding RNA, 773 nt
Filed under: Homo sapiens (human)
Lineage: Eukaryota; Metazoa; Chordata; Mammalia; Primates; Hominidae
Description: HSALNT0311518
Source: RNAcentral
AAUUUUAAAAGUCUCAUUUAAGUAUUUCUUUUGGUUUUCCUUGUAUAAAUAUAGCUAACUUUUAAACAUUUCUUUUCCGGCUUGUGUUGUUUGCUUUGGACCCUUCAGCACCUAUUUUUAAACGUUAAGCAUUCCCCAGUCAGCAUGAAAGUUUUACUGUUAGUUUUAUUUUGUUCCUAUAAUUUUGAUUCCCCCCAGAAACUGCCACAGAUGAAAUCAAGCCAAUAGAAUUGAAAGCAAAGAUCACCUGGUGGCCAUGAAGCCGACCAUCCUUAGGCAGAAACUCCUUACCUGAGGAAUUUAGAGAUUACAAUGAUUCCACCUACAGAUGAUUAUGUAAUCCCAAUACCAGCCUGCAACAGCAACUUCCACAUAUAUGGGGCCUCUUGAUGGAAUCCGGUGUCUCCUGUCCCCACGCCAUCUGCAAUCAAUUGUGACUGCACUGACCUGCAUAAAAUUCACACGUGUGGACUGGAUCAAAAGACUCAUCUACAAAAAAGGAGAACAGAAGUGACAGUAUGUAACUUUGGAUAGUAGGCUGUUGGAUGACAACUCUCCAUGGGUCUCUUGAGUUUGUGAAGUUUUGCAAGAGUCACUGCCUACCCUUUGUUCUAAAUUACAAGGAUUAUACAGUGAACAACCUUGAAAGAUAAAGAUAGUUUCUUCUUCUGGAGCAAAGGGCAGGUUUGCUCACAGUCUUAGAUGAUGGAGACAGUACCUCCCUGCAAAGCAAAGGGCAGGCAUGCCUGUUACUCAUAAAAUAUUUGGGUUUC